AUUUCUGAGCUCACCUCUUCGAUCUCUGAAAUCCCAUCGCGUGAUGAUUUUUAUAGAGGUAUGUAGGACGUUCAAAGCACUCUUGAAUUUUUGCCUGUAAAAACUCCCGUUUUGCACUUCUACGAUCUUGACUUGUCCGAUCUCCUCUUUCUUUAACACCUCUGAAAAAUGUAUGGCCCUUCCGACCGUCGUUUUGACUUGAACCUUAGUGAAGGAGCAGCUCCUCCUUCUUCAGACAACAUAUGGCGCCCGUCCCUCAUAUCCCCUACUG
Molecule: long non-coding RNA, 271 nt
Filed under: Malus domestica (apple)
Lineage: Eukaryota; Viridiplantae; Streptophyta; Magnoliopsida; Rosales; Rosaceae
Description: long non-coding RNA (MDOM_LNC010434)
Source: RNAcentral